This 65-nucleotide transfer RNA is filed under the name Rhabdoblatta saussurei. RNAcentral describes it as "tRNA-Leu". It matches the Rfam family "tRNA". From Rfam's summary of the family: Transfer RNA (tRNA) molecules are approximately 80 nucleotides in length. Their secondary structure includes four short double-helical elements and three loops (D, anti-codon, and T loops). The record is from RNAcentral. Lineage: Eukaryota; Metazoa; Arthropoda; Insecta; Blattodea; Blaberidae.
UCUAAUAUGGCAGACUAGUGCAGUAGAUUUAAGCUCUACAUAUAAAGAUUAAACUUUUGUUAGAA